UACGUAGGGUGCGAGCGUUGUCCGGAAUUAUUGGGCGUAAAGAGCUCGUAGGCGGUCUGUCGCGUCGGUCGUGAAAACUUGGGGCUUAACCCUGAGCUUGCGGUCGAUACGGGCAUGACUGGAGUUCGGCAGGGGAGACUGGAAUUCCUGGUGUAGCGGUGAAAUGCGUAGAGAUGCGGAGGAACACCGAUGGCGAAGGCAGCCCCCUGGGCUAACACUGACGCUCAGGCACGAAAGCGUGGGGAGCAAACAGG
This 254-nucleotide ribosomal RNA is filed under the name uncultured bacterium. Its description in RNAcentral is "partial 16S ribosomal RNA". It matches the Rfam family "Bacterial small subunit ribosomal RNA", at positions 524 to 776 of the family's 1533-position model. The record is from RNAcentral.